Long non-coding RNA from Beta vulgaris subsp. vulgaris (sugar beet), 886 nucleotides. RefSeq lists it as uncharacterized. The transcript has 2 exons. The record is from RefSeq and is a predicted model, not a curated record. Lineage: Eukaryota; Viridiplantae; Streptophyta; Magnoliopsida; Caryophyllales; Amaranthaceae.
AAUUGCGCCAUACCUCAAGUUUCAGCCAGUAGUCUUUAGCUCCUUCAAUCAGCUUCAUUUUCUUACGCAAUUACCCCACUUGUUUUCCAAUUCAAUUCCAAAUUCCAACUUAUUUCCCAGUUUUAUUCUCUACUUCCAAAUAAAAUUCAGUUGUAAUCGUUUAGCGCAAAUCUACAAAGUAGUUGAAGAUGAUUUUCAACCUUAGGAACGACCUUCUCAGACAUUCAAUAAUUAUCAGUGGGUUUACCUUAAAUACUACUCCUUCCAUUUCUCUUCACUUCUCAAAUACUCAUCGAUUUUCCCUCUUUCUUUUGUUAAUUAUUUUUCACCCUUUACAUUGGUAUUGUGGUUCGAGAAUUGUGUUCUCACUGGCUUGAUACUUCAAGAAUUCAUCUGUUCAAAGAGAUUAUGAAAUUAGCAUCCAAUCACACAAAAUUAUUUGGAUUUCUAGGUACUGUGGUUGUUGGGUUGCCUCUUGUUGGAUUUGGUGGAGAUAGGCAAGCAAGCCCAAGCGAGGAAGGAAGCCCAACCCCCAGCAUCCCGUGCAGGCUAUUGCUGUGUGGGUGGUUCUGCCUUGAAGGCAGAUCGUAGAACUUGCGCCUGCAUCGGGCUGGCGGCUCUUCGGGACCGCCGUCCGAAAAAUCCAGUUUGCACGUGUUUUUUUUACGAUUUAAGUUUCAAUCGUGGUUAUUGGAUUGCUUUUAUUCCUUGUUGUAUAAAUAUCCUAUUUUUCUGGUUUUAGAAGAUAUAACACACAUAUCUCAAAGUUCAAACUUGGAGCCUAAUCUUUUCUAGGAUUUUAGGGAAAAGAGUGAGUUUGUGAGAGAUUGUAUGUUCAUCAUUAAUUCUCCAUUGAUUCUAUAGUGCAAGUUUGUGGGUUUUUCUC